Molecule: transfer RNA, 74 nt
Filed under: Pseudoscardovia radai
Lineage: Bacteria; Bacillati; Actinomycetota; Actinomycetes; Bifidobacteriales; Bifidobacteriaceae
Description: tRNA-Val
Rfam family: tRNA
About the family: Transfer RNA (tRNA) molecules are approximately 80 nucleotides in length.
Source: RNAcentral
GGGCAAUUAGCUCAGGUGGUUAGAGCGUCGCCUUUACACGGCGGAUGUCGGGGGUUCGAAUCCCUCAUUGCCCA